UACGUAGGGUGCGAGCGUUGUCCGGAAUUAUUGGGCGUAAAGAGCUCGUAGGCGGUGUGUCGCGUCGGCCGUGAAAACCUGGGGCUCAACUCUGGGCGUGCGGUCGAUACGGGCAUCACUUGAGUUCGGCAGGGGAGACUGGAAUUCCUGGUGGUAGCGGUGAAAUGCGCAGAUAUCGGGAGGAACACCAAUGGCGAAGGCAGCUCGCUGGGACGGUA
RNAcentral lists this ribosomal RNA (218 nucleotides) under uncultured bacterium. RNAcentral's name for it is "partial 16S ribosomal RNA". It matches the Rfam family "Bacterial small subunit ribosomal RNA", at positions 524 to 739 of the family's 1533-position model. The record is from RNAcentral.